GCGAACGGGUGAGUAACGCGUGAGGAACCUGCCUCAAAGAGGGGGACAACAGUUGGAAACGACUGCUAAUACCGCAUAAGCCCACGGCUCGGCAUCGAGCAGAGGGAAAAGGAGCAAUCCGCUUUGAGAUGGCCUCGCGUCCGAUUAGCUAGUUGGUGAGGUAAUGGCCCACCAAGGCGACGAUCGGUAGCCGGACUGAGAGGUUGAACGGCCACAUUGGGACUGAGACACGGCCCAGACUCCUACGGGAGGCAGCAGUGGGGAAUAUUGCACAAUGGGGGAAACCCUGAUGCAGCGACGCCGCGUGGAGGAAGAAGGUCUUCGGAUUGUAAACUCCUGUUGUUGAGGAAGAUAAUGACGGUACUCAACAAGGAAGUGACGGCUAACUACGUGCCAGCAGCCGCGGUAAAACGUAGGUCACAAGCGUUGUCCGGAAUUACUGGGUGUAAAGGGGGCGCAGGCGGGAGAACAAGUUGGAAGUGAAAUCCAUGGGCUCAACCCAUGAACUGCUUUCAAAACUGUUUUUCUUGAGUAGUGCAGAGGUAGGCGGAAUUCCCGGUGUAGCGGUGGAAUGCGUAGAUAUCGGGAGGAACACCAGUGGCGAAGGCGGCCUACUGGGCACCAACUGACGCUGAGGCUCGAAAGUGUGGGUAGCAAACAGGAUUAGAUACCCUGGUAGUCCACACCGUAAACGAUGAUUACUAGGUGUUGGAGGAUUGACCCCUUCAGUG
This 731-nucleotide ribosomal RNA is filed under the name uncultured bacterium. RNAcentral's name for it is "bacterial SSU rRNA". It matches the Rfam family "Bacterial small subunit ribosomal RNA", at positions 98 to 845 of the family's 1533-position model. The record is from RNAcentral.